RNAcentral lists this ribosomal RNA (460 nucleotides) under uncultured bacterium. Its description in RNAcentral is "partial 16S ribosomal RNA". It matches the Rfam family "Bacterial small subunit ribosomal RNA", at positions 338 to 795 of the family's 1533-position model. The record is from RNAcentral.
CCUACGGGUGGCAGCAGUGAGGAAUAUUGGUCAAUGGGCGCGAGCCUGAACCAGCCAAGUCGCGUGAAGGAUGACUGCCCUACGGGUUUUAAACUUCUUUUAUAAAGGAAUAACGUGAGGCACGUGUUCCUUUUUGUAUGUACUUUAUGUAUAAGGCUCGGCUAACUCCGUUCCAGCAGCCGCGGUAAUACGGAGGAUCCGAGCGUUAUCCGGGUUUAGUGGGCUUAAAGGGAGCGUAGAUGGGAUGUUAAUUCAGUUGUGAAAUUUUUCGGCUCAACCGUAAGAUUGCAAUUGAUACUGGCAGUCUUGAGUACAGUUGAGGUAGGCGGAAUGCGUGGUGUAGCGGUGAAAUGCAUAGAGAUCACGCAGAACACCGAUUGCGAAGGCAGAAUACCGGCGCCCAACUGACGCUGAAGCACGAAAGCGUGGGUAUCGAACAGGAUUAGAUACCCGGGUAGUC